GCGGGAGUAGCUCAGCGGUAGAGCGCAACCUUGCCAAGGUUGAAGUCGCGGGUUCAAAUCCCGUCUCCCGCUCCA
Molecule: transfer RNA, 75 nt
Filed under: Acidobacteria bacterium RIFCSPLOWO2_12_FULL_59_11
Lineage: Bacteria; Pseudomonadati; Acidobacteriota
Description: tRNA-Gly
Rfam family: tRNA
About the family: Transfer RNA (tRNA) molecules are approximately 80 nucleotides in length. Their secondary structure includes four short double-helical elements and three loops (D, anti-codon, and T loops).
Source: RNAcentral